Molecule: ribosomal RNA, 373 nt
Filed under: uncultured Serratia sp.
Lineage: Bacteria; Pseudomonadati; Pseudomonadota; Gammaproteobacteria; Enterobacterales; Yersiniaceae
Description: bacterial SSU rRNA
Rfam family: Bacterial small subunit ribosomal RNA
Source: RNAcentral
UAAUACGGAGGGUGCAAGCGUUAAUCGGAAUUACUGGGCGUAAAGCGCACGCAGGCGGUUUGUUAAGUCAGAUGUGAAAUCCCCGGGCUCAACCUGGGAACUGCAUUUGAAACUGGCAAGCUAGAGUCUCGUAGAGGGGGGUAGAAUUCCAGGUGUAGCGGUGAAAUGCGUAGAGAUCUGGAGGAAUACCGGUGGCGAAGGCGGCCCCCUGGACGAAGACUGACGCUCAGGUGCGAAAGCGUGGGGAGCAAACAGGAUUAGAUACCCUGGUAGUCCACGCUGUAAACGAUGUCGAUUUGGAGGUUGUGCCCUUGAGGCGUGGCUUCCGGAGCUAACGCGUUAAAUCGACCGCCUGGGGAGUACGGCGCAAGGU